This 583-nucleotide ribosomal RNA is filed under the name Bacillus sp. HRTP160. Its description in RNAcentral is "bacterial SSU rRNA". It matches the Rfam family "Bacterial small subunit ribosomal RNA", at positions 102 to 670 of the family's 1533-position model. The record is from RNAcentral. Lineage: Bacteria; Bacillati; Bacillota; Bacilli; Caryophanales; Bacillaceae.
ACGGGUGAGUAACACGUGGGUAACCUGCCUGUAAGACUGGGAUAACUCCGGGAAACCGGGGCUAAUACCGGAUGGUUGUUUGAACCGCAUGGUUCAAACAUAAAAGGUGGCUUCGGCUACCACUUACAGAUGGACCCGCGGCGCAUUAGCUAGUUGGUGAGGUAACGGCUCACCAAGGCGACGAUGCGUAGCCGACCUGAGAGGGUGAUCGGCCACACUGGGACUGAGACACGGCCCAGACUCCUACGGGAGGCAGCAGUAGGGAAUCUUCCGCAAUGGACGAAAGUCUGACGGAGCAACGCCGCGUGAGUGAUGAAGGUUUUCGGAUCGUAAAGCUCUGUUGUUAGGGAAGAACAAGUACCGUUCGAAUAGGGCGGUACCUUGACGGUACCUAACCAGAAAGCCACGGCUAACUACGUGCCAGCAGCCGCGGUAAUACGUAGGUGGCAAGCGUUGUCCGGAAUUAUUGGGCGUAAAGGGCUCGCAGGCGGUUUCUUAAGUCUGAUGUGAAAGCCCCCGGCUCAACCGGGGAGGGUCAUUGGAAACUGGGGAACUUGAGUGCAGAAGAGGAGAGUGGAAUUCC